CCUACGGGGGGCUGCAGUGGGGAAUUUUCCGCAAUGGGCGAAAGCCUGACGGAGCAAUACCGCGUGAGGGAGGAAGGCUCUUGGGUUGUAAACCUCUUUUCUCAGGGAAUAAGUACUGAAGGUACCUGAGGAAUCAGCAUCGGCUAACUCCGUGCCAGCAGCCGCGGUAAUACGGAGGAUGCAAGCGUUAUCCGGAAUGAUUGGGCGUAAAGCGUCCGCAGGUGGUUUUUCAAGUCUGCUGUCAAAGAGUCUGGCUCAACCAGAUAAAGGCAGUG
This 275-nucleotide ribosomal RNA is filed under the name uncultured bacterium. RNAcentral describes it as "partial 16S ribosomal RNA". It matches the Rfam family "Bacterial small subunit ribosomal RNA", at positions 338 to 628 of the family's 1533-position model. The record is from RNAcentral.